CUGAAAGCCUCUGUGCACCACAUCCAGAGUAACCGUGGGGACAUCUACGCUGGGACAGUGGCCUCCCAGCUUCUCCUGGGCAUGCAGCAUCCAGCUCCUCUGGCAGAGGUCUCCUCCUCCCUGAAGGCCAUGGUGAAGCGCGUGUAUGAAGUGAUUGACACGCAAGUGCAAGAUGUCAAUGAAUGCUCCUAUGCUGAAUUCAAUGCUUGCCCUGAGAAAAGCAGCUGUGUGAACCUGGAGGGCUAUUACAGCUGCCACCCCCAGCACGGACAUGCCACUGUCAUCCCUCACUGGCUGAGCCCAAGGAAGGAAGGCAUUGUAGCAUCUACUCCAAGUUCAGUAAAUGCUGUUAACACUGGCAGUACCUCUCCUUCUGUAAGGAAAUCAAGUCUCUUGUCUAUAACCAACCAAUCUACAGAUGCUGAGUGCUGUAAGUAACCUUGGAUUUUAAUAAAUGUUUUCUUGAUUUA
Molecule: long non-coding RNA, 470 nt
Filed under: Zonotrichia albicollis (white-throated sparrow)
Lineage: Eukaryota; Metazoa; Chordata; Aves; Passeriformes; Passerellidae
Description: lncRNA (ENSZALG00000002376.1)
Source: RNAcentral